AAUCAAAUAAAGGCAUACCUUUUAGAAACCUUACAAAUAUAUGUAUUUUAUAAGAUCUUCAUUAUUUAAAACUCAGAGAUUCUUUGCCAUGCAUGUCUAAAUCACUUUCUUUAUUUCAAUAAAGAGAAGGGAUAAAGAAUGCAUUAUUAUAUUUCAACAUAUUCUUUAUUAUAACAUUACAAUAAUCUCUUGAAUCCCAUCUAUCAUGUUGCUUUGUUGUAGCUUGUCAUCAUGGAGUCUAUAAAAUUAGAGCAUUACCAUAAUAUAUAGUCUAGAUCUCUCAAAGUAUCAAAAUUCACUUUUUUUUUUUUUUUAAGACCAAAUAAUAACACAAUAAUAACUAAAUUUAUAUGAAUGAACCCCUCUAAUUAUGUCUUAACAUGUAAGAGUACUGGGAAUACAAGCUUUAAUUUAAUAUUUUCAUCAAAUAAAAUCUUAAAUCAACUAAUAUUAAUUUUGAACGGCACAUUAGCAAGUAGAAAGAUAAUUCAUUACCUUAUCCGAUUAAAAUUUCCAAUAAAAUGCGUUGACUAAUCUUUUUUGCCAACGAUGACGGUGCAUGGCUCUCAUCAUUAGGGUUGAAAUAAUUAAUGCUGAAUUAUAAGUAAUAUUAUAAGCCAAAAUGUUAGCUCAAACCCCGACCAAAUUAACCCUAAUUUAAUUGAUUUGAUGGUGAACAUUUGUGCGUGGCCAACAACGAUCCACCAUUGUGGAAGGUGUCGUUCCAUAAUUUAACACCACGCAAUGUGAUUUUUAAAAUUCCCAAAACAAAAUUGCGAUUCUAAUAGAAAAGCCGACGAAAUUUUUGACCCCAUAGAAAUGAAUAUGAAGUUUUAAAGAUGAUAAAGGCUCAUUAUAGCGAUUAGAUGAUGACUUUUCUACUCUUUUAUUAAUGAGUUUCUUUUGUUCCAAUAACAACAACGCUUUCGUCUGUUAUAGGAAAGAAAUUCUACAACUUGGAUCUCUUGUAAAUUUCUAAUAUAGGCAACUUUAUUAUCAAAUACUAAAUUAAAAUUAAACAUAU
This 1024-nucleotide long non-coding RNA is filed under the name Citrus x clementina. RNAcentral's name for it is "Citrus clementina (C. clementina) long non-coding RNA (CCLE_LNC001120)". The record is from RNAcentral. Lineage: Eukaryota; Viridiplantae; Streptophyta; Magnoliopsida; Sapindales; Rutaceae.